This 301-nucleotide ribosomal RNA is filed under the name uncultured bacterium. Its description in RNAcentral is "partial 16S ribosomal RNA". It matches the Rfam family "Bacterial small subunit ribosomal RNA", at positions 509 to 807 of the family's 1533-position model. The record is from RNAcentral.
CAGCAGCCACGGUAAUACGGAGGGUGCAAGCGUUAAUCGGAAUUACUGGGCGUAAAGCGUGCGUAGGCGGUUCGUUAAGUCUGUUGUGAAAGCCCCGGGCUCAACCUGGGAAUGGCAAUGGAUACUGGCGAGCUAGAGUGUGUCAGAGGAUGGUGGAAUUCCCGGUGUAGCGGUGAAAUGCGUAGAGGUCGGGAGGAACAUCAGUGGCGAAGGCGGCCAUCUGGGACAACACUGACGCUGAGGCACGAAAGCGUGGGGAGCAAACAGGAUUAGAUACCCGAGUAGUCCCUGUCUCUUAUAC